Molecule: ribosomal RNA, 427 nt
Filed under: uncultured bacterium
Lineage: Bacteria
Description: partial 16S ribosomal RNA
Rfam family: Bacterial small subunit ribosomal RNA
Source: RNAcentral
UGGGGAAUAUUGCACAAUGGGCGCAAGCCUGAUGCAGCCAUGCCGCGUGUAUGAAGAAGGCCUUCGGGUUGUAAAGUACUUUCAGCGAGGAGGAAGGCGUUGUGGUUAAUAACCGCAACGAUUGACGUUACUCGCAGAAGAAGCACCGGCUAACUCCGUGCCAGCAGCCGCGGUAAUACGGAGGGUGCAAGCGUUAAUCGGAAUUACUGGGCGUAAAGCGCACGCAGGCGGUCUGUCAAGUCGGAUGUGAAAUCCCCGGGCUCAACCGGGGAACUGCAUCCGAAACUGGCAGGCUAGAGUCUUGUAGAGGGGGGUAGAAUUCCAGGUGUAGCGGUGAAAUGCGUAGAGAUCUGGAGGCAUACCGGUGGCGAAGGCGGCCCCCUGGACAAAGACUGACGCUCAGGUGCGAAAGCGUGGGGAGCAAACA